AGCUUUGCGCAGUGGCAGUAUCAUAGCCAAUGAGGUUUAUCUGAGGCGCGAUUAUUGCUAAUUGAAAAAGAAAAAGGUUCUGAUGUAUGCCCAGGGUUGUAUGAGACCCCCACGGCUUCCUGAAGAGUUCUCAUUAGU
This is a small nuclear RNA of Mustela lutreola (European mink), 138 nucleotides long. RefSeq annotates it as U4 spliceosomal RNA. Lineage: Eukaryota; Metazoa; Chordata; Mammalia; Carnivora; Mustelidae. The record is from RefSeq and is a predicted model, not a curated record. The transcript has a single exon.